RNAcentral lists this ribosomal RNA (895 nucleotides) under uncultured bacterium. RNAcentral's name for it is "bacterial SSU rRNA". It matches the Rfam family "Bacterial small subunit ribosomal RNA", at positions 31 to 916 of the family's 1533-position model. The record is from RNAcentral.
UGACGCUAGCUACAGGCUUAACACAUGCAAGUCGAGGGGAAACGAUAUUGGAAGCUUGCUUCCGAUAGGCGUCGACCGGCGCACGGGUGAGUAACGCGUAUCCAACCUGCCCACCACUUGGGGAUAACCUUGCGAAAGUAAGACUAAUACCCAAUGAUAUCUCUAGAAGACAUCUGAAGGAGAUUAAAGAUUUAUCGGUGAUGGAUGGGGAUGCGUCUGAUUAGCUUGUUGGCGGGGUAACGGCCCACCAAGGCUACGAUCAGUAGGGGUUCUGAGAGGAAGGUCCCCCACAUUGGAACUGAGACACGGUCCAAACUCCUACGGGAGGCAGCAGUGAGGAAUAUUGGUCAAUGGGCGAGAGCCUGAACCAGCCAAGUAGCGUGCAGGAUGACGGCCCUAUGGGUUGUAAACUGCUUUUAUAAGGGAAUAAAGUGAGUCUCGUGAGACUUUUUGCAUGUACCUUAUGAAUAAGGACCGGCUAAUUCCGUGCCAGCAGCCGCGGUAAUACGGAAGGUCCGGGCGUUAUCCGGAUUUAUUGGGUUUAAAGGGAGCGUAGGCCGGAGAUUAAGCGUGUUGUGAAAUGUAGACGCUCAACGUCUGCACUGCAGCGCGAACUGGUUUCCUUGAGUACGCACAAAGUGGGCGGAAUUCGUGGUGUAGCGGUGAAAUGCUUAGAUAUCACGAAGAACUCCGAUUGCGAAGGCAGCUCACUGGAGCGCAACUGACGCUGAAGCUCGAAAGUGCGGGUAUCGAACAGGAUUAGAUACCCUGGUAGUCCGCACGGUAAACGAUGGAUGCCCGCCGUUGGUCUGAAUAGGUCAGCGGCCAAGCGAAAGCAUUAAGCAUCCCACCUGGGGAGUACGCCGGCAACGGUGAAACUCAAAGGAAUUGACGG